This 142-nucleotide unclassified non-coding RNA is filed under the name Glomeromycotina sp. RNAcentral's name for it is "partial contains small subunit ribosomal RNA, internal transcribed spacer 1, and 5.8S ribosomal RNA". The stretch from base 1 to 47 matches the Rfam family "Eukaryotic small subunit ribosomal RNA", at positions 1785 to 1831 of the family's 1831-position model. Lineage: Eukaryota; Fungi; Glomeromycota. The record is from RNAcentral.
AAAGUCGUAACAAGGUUUCCGUAGGUGAACCUGCGGAAGGAUCAUUAAAAAAUGUUGGAUAUAACCAUGUGCAAGAGAUGACUAAGAAAUUUAUAGUUGGACUUUAAUUAGACAACUUUUAGCAACGGAUCUCUAGGUUCUC